Molecule: ribosomal RNA, 316 nt
Filed under: uncultured Ralstonia sp.
Lineage: Bacteria; Pseudomonadati; Pseudomonadota; Betaproteobacteria; Burkholderiales; Burkholderiaceae
Description: bacterial SSU rRNA
Rfam family: Bacterial small subunit ribosomal RNA
Source: RNAcentral
GCCUUACACAUGCAAGUCGAACGGCAGCAUGAUCUAGCUUGCUAGAUUGAUGGCGAGUGGCGAACGGGUGAGUAAUACAUCGGAACGUGCCCUGUAGUGGGGGAUAACUAGUCGAAAGAUUAGCUAAUACCGCAUACGACCUGAGGGUGAAAGUGGGGGACCGCAAGGCCUCAUGCUAUAGGAGCGGCCGAUGUCUGAUUAGCUAGUUGGUGGGGUAAAGGCCCACCAAGGCGACGAUCAGUAGCUGGUCUGAGAGGACGAUCAGCCACACUGGGACUGAGACACGGCCCAGACUCCUAACGGGAGGCAGCAGAAG